GGAAUGAACGCUGGCGGCGUGCUUUACACAUGCAAGUUGAGCGAGGCGGGUAGCAAUACCCAGUCGAGCGGCGAACGGGUGAGUAACGCGUGGAUAACCUACCCCAAGGUGGGGAACAACCAGGGGAAACUCUGGCUAAUACCGCAUAACACCGAGAGGUCAAAGGGGGCCGCAAGGCUCCCGCCAUGGGAGGGGUCCGCGUCCGAUUAGCUAGUUGGUAGGGUAAUGGCCUACCAAGGCGACGAUCGGUAGCCGGCCUGAGAGGGUGAGUCGGCCGACGACUGGAACUGAGACACGGUCCAGACUCCUACGGGAGGCAGCAGUGGGGAAUUUUGCGCAAUGGGCUAACGCCUGACGCAGCAACGCGCGUGGAGGAUGAAGGUCUUUGGAUCGUAAACUCCUGUCGGCAGGGAAAAGCAAUUCGACUAAUACGUCGGAAAGUUGAUUGUACCUGCGGAGGAAGCCCCGGCUAACUCUGUGCCAGCAGCCGC
This 491-nucleotide ribosomal RNA is filed under the name uncultured soil bacterium. RNAcentral's name for it is "bacterial SSU rRNA". It matches the Rfam family "Bacterial small subunit ribosomal RNA", at positions 27 to 518 of the family's 1533-position model. The record is from RNAcentral.